AACCAUUCUCACCUGCGGCUAGACCUGCGGAGGGAUCAUUACAAGUGACCCCGGUCUAACCACCGGGAUGUUCAUAACCCUUUGUUGUCCGACUCUGUUGCCUCCGGGGCGACCCUGCCUUCGGGCGGGGGCUCCGGGUGGACACUUCAAACUCUUGCGUAACUUUGCAGUCUGAGUAAACUUAAUUAAUAAAUUAAAACUUUCAACAAUGGAUCU
RNAcentral lists this unclassified non-coding RNA (216 nucleotides) under soil metagenome. Its description in RNAcentral is "partial contains 5.8S ribosomal RNA, internal transcribed spacer 2, and large subunit ribosomal RNA". The record is from RNAcentral.